GAUGAACGCUGGCGGCGUGCCUAAUACAUGCAAGUAGAACGCUGAAGGAGGAGCUUGCUCUUCUGGAUGAGUUGCGAACGGGUGAGUAACGCGUAGGUAACCUGCCUGGUAGCGGGGGAUAACUAUUGGAAACGAUAGCUAAUACCGCAUGACAACAGUUAUUGCAUGAUAACUGUUUAAAAGGGGCAACUGCUCCACUACCAGAUGGACCUGCGUUGUAUUAGCUAGUUGGUGAGGUAACGGCUCACCAAGGCGACGAUACAUAGCCGACCUGAGAGGGUGGUCGGCCAAACUGGGACUGAGACACGGCCCAGAAUCCUACGGGAGGCAGCAGUAGGGAAUCUUCGGCAAUGGACGGAAGUCUGACCGAGCAACGCCGCGUGAGUGAAGAAGGUUUUCGGAUCGUAAAGCUCUGUUGUAAGAGAAGAACGAGUGUGAGAGUGGAAAGUUCACACUGUGACGGUAUCUUACCAGAAAGGGACGGCUAACUACGUG
Molecule: ribosomal RNA, 495 nt
Filed under: uncultured bacterium
Lineage: Bacteria
Description: partial 16S ribosomal RNA
Rfam family: Bacterial small subunit ribosomal RNA
Source: RNAcentral